This 1163-nucleotide long non-coding RNA is filed under the name Ictidomys tridecemlineatus (thirteen-lined ground squirrel). RNAcentral's name for it is "lncRNA (ENSSTOG00000029386.1)". The record is from RNAcentral. Lineage: Eukaryota; Metazoa; Chordata; Mammalia; Rodentia; Sciuridae.
UAUUUUUGUCACUUUGUCAGAGAGAAAUUGCAGCCCCGAGGGCAUUAGAGCUUCACAGAAUUACCCAAAACAUUAACAUGCAAAUUGCCUUCUUUAGAGAAGGUAAUUUUAUUAGUGCACGAGAAAAAAAACGUUUCUUUCACUGUACUCAUGCCUAGGAGCAGCACCGUCUAGGGGCCAGUUAGGGCCACCAAAAACGGAUAAUCAGGGAGCCUCCUAAAGUUGGUUGGGAUUUUGAGCCUCCUCCAGGUGGGCCCAUGUCUCCCUGGAUGUGGGAAGCACCCACACCUCGGUUAACACUCGGCUGCCUAGGGGUACGCAGGGCAGAGAGGGAGAGUGAUUUGUUCAAGAUGGUACAGCUCCAAUGGCCAGAAAAGAACCACACAGCACCAAACACAGCAGGAAAACAUGGCAGGGAGGGUCUGGAAGCUUCUCGGAGAGGGCCUUACACAUGGCCAGUCAAGGUUGGAUGGGCAAUCCAGGCUGGGAGGAAUACCUGAGCAGAGGUGCCCAGAAGAGAUUCGCUGGCCUGGCCCAGCAAGGUGUGGCAGAAGGGUGGGCUGGGAUGGGGGUGGGUGCAGAGGGUGGAGGCAAGGCCAAGCCCAGAGGCUAACAAGCUGGAUGUCACCUGCAGGUGGCAAGCAGACCGGCAGAGCCACGAGAUUUGAGAAGGGAGGGGUUUCCCGGCCCAGGGAGCCAACAUGACAGAAGGCUGUACGAGGCUGCGCUUACAUAAGGCUUCCUCCUCCCUCUGCAGACGUGAAGGGGGAGCGUGGGCAGAGACACCCACCACCGCUCAGCAGAGUCUCAGUGAAGUCAGGUCGCGCGGAGCAGAUGAGGCUCCCACUCCGUAUUUCAAUCACAAGUCACCACGGCAGACUUCAAAGCACAUCAGAGCGCAGUUAUUGAGCCCCAGUAACAACAUGUCAGUGGACGCGGAGCUUUUCACGUCACCUGUCACCGAGAUGGCUAUCUCUAUUGGGUUCUGCAAGGGCGGAGGUUCCAGUCUCUCCCCGGGUAAUAUAACAAACUGCUCUGCUAAUUUCCAAAGCUUCAUUAGGAAAGGGCCACAGGUCGUCCCUAAUUAUCAUAUCCAUGUCCGCUGGGCUCCUCUCUCUGACGCAGGAACGGAGACUGCCGGGCUUGCUCUGUGGGUUAAUGGA